GGAUAUUGUUUACAUAUGUGACA
This 23-nucleotide non-coding RNA is filed under the name Arabidopsis thaliana (thale cress). The record is from RNAcentral. Lineage: Eukaryota; Viridiplantae; Streptophyta; Magnoliopsida; Brassicales; Brassicaceae.